UAAAAUACCCAGAGCAAAUUGAUUUCGCGCCACAACCUUCAAGUAUUUGGCGCGAGAACCCUUUAUUCAGAGCCAAGGUAUAGCAAUCAACAAGGCUCCUUCCCCGCCGUACUUACCCUUCCCUCUGUCAGAUCCAGCCGAGUCCGCUCCAUCGUUGUUCCGGUCACCAGGCUCCUCCCUCAUCCGUGUAGCUCCCGUGCACGAAGGUGAAGUAGAAGGGGUCGUCGGAGUCUUCUCCUUCUGCUGUGCAUGCGUGUGAAGUCGUCGGCGUCAUCCCAAUCCAUCCGUCCCUGUGUCAUUCUUGGCAGCCUUCUCCCCUUUGGCGGUGCUUCGCGUUGCCGAUUGCAAUAGACUCCCCUCUCAGUGGUUCUCGGACGAGCGGGUAUAUCGGAGCUCUGAAAUAAUUUACUUGGGGUGUAUUCCUGUACCUGCAGCUGUGACAGGUAUUAUCAAUAGAGUAGAACCAAUAAGUCUUGCACAAAGUCUUUUGGGGAAUUUAUUAAGUAUUAAUUUUUAUAUUUUUAU
Arachis ipaensis is the source of this 525-nucleotide non-coding RNA. The record is from RefSeq and is a predicted model, not a curated record. NCBI's taxonomy places the organism in Eukaryota, Viridiplantae, Streptophyta, Magnoliopsida, Fabales, Fabaceae.